RNAcentral lists this long non-coding RNA (376 nucleotides) under Nilaparvata lugens (brown planthopper). RNAcentral describes it as "uncharacterized LOC120350061, transcript variant X2". Lineage: Eukaryota; Metazoa; Arthropoda; Insecta; Hemiptera; Delphacidae. The record is from RNAcentral.
CCUAACUUCUGCAAUUUUUCCAUUUAAAGGUAUCUAUUGCUUGAGCAAAUUAAAAAUCGAAUUUGGGUGACAUGAGGUGAAGAUCCAAUACCAAAUUUAUUUAGGAAAGCAGUACUGAAUUUGUCUAACGUCCUGAAUUUGUGAUUAUGGAUCUGGAAAAACAUCAGAGGUUCACCGCUCAACAAGCUGGUCAAUUGCGGUCACCACAUAUUCCAAUUUACAUCCAUUUCAUUCAAAACAAUCUGCCACUGACCUUGAUUCCUUUUUACUCUCUACGUAAUUCCAGAAUUGUUUAAUAUUGGAUUUAAUGUUGCAUUGUAAUGAGUCUAUGUACCUCUGAUAAGCUAUAUUUAUUCCUGAUUUUAUUGAUGCUCUU